Molecule: ribosomal RNA, 253 nt
Filed under: uncultured bacterium
Lineage: Bacteria
Description: partial 16S ribosomal RNA
Rfam family: Bacterial small subunit ribosomal RNA
Source: RNAcentral
UACGUAGGGCGCAAGCGUUGUCCGGAAUUAUUGGGCGUAAAGAGCUCGUAGGCGGCUUGUCACGUCGGGUGGGAAAGCCCGGGGCUUAACCCCGGGUCUGCAUUCGAUACGGGCUGGCUAGAGUGUGGUAGGGGAGAUCGGAAUUCCUGGUGUAGCGGUGAAAUGCGCAGAUAUCAGGAGGAACACCGAUGGCGAAGGCAGGUCUCUGGGCAUUAACUGACGCUGAGGAGCGAAAGCAUGGGGAGCGAACAGG